GACGAACGCUGGCGGCGUGCCUAAUACAUGCAAGUCGAACGCUUCUUUCCUCCCGAGUGCUUGCACUCAAUUGGAAAGAGGAGUGGCGGACGGGUGAGUAACACGUGGGUAACCUACCCAUCAGAGGGGGAUAACACUUGGAAACAGGUGCUAAUACCGCAUAACAGUUUAUGCCGCAUGGCAUAAGAGUGAAAGGCGCUUUCGGGUGUCGCUGAUGGAUGGACCCGCGGUGCAUUAGCUAGUUGGUGAGGUAACGGCUCACCAAGGCCACGAUGCAUAGCCGACCUGAGAGGGUGAUCGGACACACUGGGACUGAGACACGGCACAGACUCCUACGGGAGGCAGCAGUAGGGAAUCUUCGGCAAUGGACGAAAGUCUGACCGAGCAACGCCGCGUGAGUGAAGAAGGUUUUCGGAUCGUAAAACUCUGUUGUUAGAGAAGAACAAGGACGUUAGUAACUGAACGUCCCCUGACGGUAUCUAACCAGAAAGCCACGGCUAACUACGUG
RNAcentral lists this ribosomal RNA (508 nucleotides) under uncultured bacterium. Its description in RNAcentral is "partial 16S ribosomal RNA". It matches the Rfam family "Bacterial small subunit ribosomal RNA", at positions 28 to 507 of the family's 1533-position model. The record is from RNAcentral.